GUACCAUGUCAGCUGUUUCACAACUGCAUUGUGUCACUCAGUCAUUGUGAAAUCAGAGGAUUCUUUCUGUGCCCUUUGCCUGGUGAAUUUGCUGUCAGGAAAUGUCACAGAACAGACCACUCCAAGAAGGCUCACUGGUUCUUCUAGAAUAAGGCGGAAUUUAUAAUGAAGCUUCCUUGUUUGUGUCAUGGGAAAUGUCAUCUGAAAUCACCCAGCAAGAAUGAUCUAGAACUCAUCAAGCCAUUUCCUUGACAUCAAAGAGGGAACUAAAAUGUGAAUUCAAGCCUUAAGCUCUUUUUUUCCUUUCAUAUGAGUAUGGAUAUGCAUUGGUCUCCUCAGCUAGCAUCGCUUCAAGUCAACUCCUUUUCUACCACGUCACUGCAUCUUAGGCUCUUUCACCAGAAAACAGGUCAAUGCAUUGAGUCUGUCUUGAAAACUCAUCACCUUCUCAUGGAAGAAGAAUUCACAUGCAUUGAAUAUUGUCUUCUCCAUGAUUACAGGUUAAAGAAGAAUCCAUCAUCUUAACAAAUAGACAAAAUUAAUUCUUGUCUGCAUCCUGACACUAGCAUAGGUUUGAUAUUUUGGGUAAGAAUCACU
Molecule: long non-coding RNA, 597 nt
Filed under: Oryctolagus cuniculus (rabbit)
Lineage: Eukaryota; Metazoa; Chordata; Mammalia; Lagomorpha; Leporidae
Description: lncRNA (ENSOCUG00000034171.1)
Source: RNAcentral